This 973-nucleotide ribosomal RNA is filed under the name uncultured bacterium. Its description in RNAcentral is "bacterial SSU rRNA". It matches the Rfam family "Bacterial small subunit ribosomal RNA", at positions 536 to 1504 of the family's 1533-position model. The record is from RNAcentral.
AAGCGUUGUUCGGAAUAACUGGGCGUAAAGCGUGUGUAGGCUGCGCGGAAAGUCAAAUGUGAAAGCCAAGGGCUCAACCCUUGAACUGCAUUCGAUACUCCCGUGCUAGAGUAAUGGAGAGGUAAGUGGAAUUCUCGGUGUAGCAGUGAAAUGCGUAGAUAUCGAGAGGAACAUCAAUGGCGAAGGCAACUUACUGGACAUUUACUGACGCUCAGACACGAAGGCUAGGGGAGCGAAAGGGAUUAGAUACCCCUGUAGUCCUAGCAGUAAACGGUGCUCGCUUGGUGUGGGAGGAUUCGACCCCUUCUGUGCCGGAGCUAACGCGUUAAGCGAGCCGCCUGGGAAGUACGGUCGCAAGACUAAAACUCAAAGAAAUUGACGGGGACCCGCACAAGCGGUGGAGUAUGUGGCUUAAUUCGAUGCAACGCGAAGAACCUUACCUAGGCUUGACAUGCUCAUCAUACCCUCCCGAAAAGGAGGGGUCGGUUCGGCCGGAUGAUGCACAGGUGCUGCAUGGCCGUCGUCAGCUCGUGUCGUGAGAUGUUUGGUUAAGUCCAGCAACGAGCGCAACCCCUGUGAACUGUUGCCAGCGGAUAAUGCCGGGGACUCUGUUCAGACUGCCCAGAUCAACUGGGAGGAAGGUGGGGACGACGUCAGGUCAGUAUGGCCCUUACGCCUAGGGCUGCACACGUACUACAAUGCCCAGCACAAUGAGAACCGAGACCGCGAGGUGGAGGAAAUCUAUAAAACUGGGCCCAGUUCGGAUUGGAGACUGCAACUCGUCUCCAUGAAGUCGGAAUCGCUAGUAAUGCCGUAUCAGCUACGACGGCGUGAAUACGUUCCCGGGUCUUGUACACACCGCCCGUCACAUCAUGGAAGCCGGUCGCACCCGAAGUAUCUGCGCUAACUUUCGAGAAGCAGGAUCCUAAGGUGAGGCUGGUAACUGGGAUGAAGUCGUAACAAGGUAGCCGUA